GUCUACUUUCACAGAAACCAUCAACGACCACCACAAGUCGUCGGCACGUCGAUGCUGAGUGAAGCAGAGCAAGUUCAAUUUAGCAAACAAUUUGGGGACGCGUGCAAGACCACGUCACCGCCGAAGCCGGAAUCUCAAGGCAGCGCUGCGGACCUGUCAUCCGCGUGCAGUGAAAAUUCAAAGUCCUCACCUGACACCGGAGGACGAGUCCACGUCGCCUUGCGUUGAGUUGAGCAGGAGAGGCUGGAAGGCAGGGCAGGGUUGCCACACGAAGGCUUGGAGAGACGAAGUGGUCAUGCGACAGAUAAAACUUGUAUGUCAAGGCCUAAGUGUUCGUGUUCUGGGGAAAGAGAACGGAAGCGUGUUGCUGCCGCACCGGGGGAAAACAAAAUUGAAUAUCAUUUGGCUGUCAGCUGUUUGCGGAACCAGGAGGAUGAGCAGAGCUCGUCAUCGUCGUGUGACAUCGCAGAUCGUCUCCGUCCGGGCGGUCGCCUCCCACUGACGCGCGUUGACGUACCCGAGCGCUUCGCUCUUUUACGUUCUUGUUGACGGUGUGUGAGCUGGAGCGGGAAGGUUACAAAGUCGUUCACAUUUGGAACGAGUCGACUUCACAUCGAGUUCACGUUUGGCACAACCGACGACGUGACGUCGGCGGUCCC
Hippocampus comes (tiger tail seahorse) is the source of this 659-nucleotide long non-coding RNA. RefSeq lists it as uncharacterized. The record is from RefSeq and is a predicted model, not a curated record. Lineage: Eukaryota; Metazoa; Chordata; Actinopteri; Syngnathiformes; Syngnathidae. The transcript has 4 exons.